Molecule: transfer RNA, 72 nt
Filed under: Capra hircus (goat)
Lineage: Eukaryota; Metazoa; Chordata; Mammalia; Artiodactyla; Bovidae
Also listed under: 1 other name
Rfam family: tRNA
About the family: Transfer RNA (tRNA) molecules are approximately 80 nucleotides in length. Their secondary structure includes four short double-helical elements and three loops (D, anti-codon, and T loops).
Source: Rfam by way of RNAcentral
UCCCUAGUGGCUUAGAUGGUAAAGUGUCUGCCUACUAUGCAGGAGAACCGGGUUGUAUACCUGGGUGGGGAA